This is a small nucleolar RNA of Hibiscus syriacus, 107 nucleotides long. NCBI's taxonomy places the organism in Eukaryota, Viridiplantae, Streptophyta, Magnoliopsida, Malvales, Malvaceae. The record is from RefSeq and is a predicted model, not a curated record.
AAACCAUGCAUUGUACAUUUCUGCAACAAAUCUUUAAACUUCUCUCAUGCUUCAUAUAAGUUUUCAUCCUCCAAUUUCUUGAAAGAUUUGAUAUCAUUCCUUAAUCU